This 408-nucleotide ribosomal RNA is filed under the name uncultured bacterium. Its description in RNAcentral is "partial 16S ribosomal RNA". It matches the Rfam family "Bacterial small subunit ribosomal RNA", at positions 28 to 526 of the family's 1533-position model. The record is from RNAcentral.
GACGAACGCUGGCGGCGUGCUUAACACAUGCAAGUCGAACGGAGUGGCGAACGGGUGAGUAACACGUGGGUGAUCUGCCUUGCACUUCGGGAUCAGCUUGGGAAACUGGGUCUAAUCCCGGAUAGUGCACGAUGAGCUUGCUGCCGAUCAGCUGGUUGGUGGGGUAAUGGCCUACCAAGGCGUCGACGGGUAGCCGGCCUGCGAGGGUGUACGGCCACAUUGGGACGGAGAUACGGCGCAGUGUCCUACGGGAGGCAGCAGUGGGGAAUAUUGCACAAGGGGCGGAAGCCUGAUGCAGCGACGCGGCGGGGGUGAUGAAGGCCUUCGGGUUGUAAACUCCUUUCGACAGGGACGCGGUACCUGUAUGAGAAGCACCGGCUAACUACGUGCCAGCAGCCGCGGUAAUUC